Molecule: long non-coding RNA, 215 nt
Filed under: Gossypium barbadense (sea-island cotton)
Lineage: Eukaryota; Viridiplantae; Streptophyta; Magnoliopsida; Malvales; Malvaceae
Description: long non-coding RNA (GBAR_LNC005773)
Source: RNAcentral
CACAUUGAGGGCAGCUAUCCAAUUUUUGUAGCCAAACCGAGCAGGGAAAAAGCUUUGGUUGUUUUGCAUGGAUGCAUGCAUGCCUGCUGUUGCGACGUAAAAAUUUUGCUUCCGAUUGCUAAUUGUGGCGAUUUAGUGAAAACUUGAAAACUAAAGUUUAAUUUUGAAAUAAAGUGGGAGUCGCCACCGAUCCUUUUUCCUAGGUGUGAUCGGAC